RNAcentral lists this ribosomal RNA (254 nucleotides) under uncultured bacterium. RNAcentral describes it as "partial 16S ribosomal RNA". It matches the Rfam family "Bacterial small subunit ribosomal RNA", at positions 524 to 777 of the family's 1533-position model. The record is from RNAcentral.
UACGAAGGGUGCAAGCGUUACUCGGAAUUACUGGGCGUAAAGCGUGCGUAGGUGGUGGUUUAAGUCUGUUGUGAAAGCCCUGGGCUCAACCUGGGAAUUGCAGUGGAUACUGGGUCACUAGAGUGUGGUAGAGGGUAGCGGAAUUCCCGGUGUAGCAGUGAAAUGCGUAGAGAUCGGGAGGAACAUCCGUGGCGAAGGCGGCUACCUGGACCAACACUGACACUGAGGCACGAAAGCGUGGGGAGCAAACAGGG